Molecule: signal recognition particle RNA, 285 nt
Filed under: Cebus imitator (Panamanian white-faced capuchin)
Lineage: Eukaryota; Metazoa; Chordata; Mammalia; Primates; Cebidae
Description: Metazoan signal recognition particle RNA (ENSCCAG00000002498.1)
Rfam family: Metazoan signal recognition particle RNA
About the family: The signal recognition particle (SRP) is a universally conserved ribonucleoprotein. It is involved in the co-translational targeting of proteins to membranes.
Source: RNAcentral
GCUAUGCCUGUAAUCCCAGCUACUCGGGAGGCUGAGGUGGGAGGAUCACUUGAGCCCAGGAGUUCUGGGCUGUAGUGCGCUAUGCCGAUCGAGCGUCCACACUAAGUUCAGCAUCAAUAUGGUGACCUCCCAGGAUCAGAGGAUCACCAGAUUGCCUAAGAAGGGAUGAACUGGCCCAGGUUAGAAAUGGAGCAGGUCAAAACUCCCGUGCUGAUCAGUACUGGAAACACGUCUGUGAAUAGCCACUGCACUCCAGCCUGGGCAACAUAGCAAGACCCCAUCUCU